GCAAACUUGGUCAUUUAGAGGAAGUAAAAGUCGUAACAAGGUUUCCGUAGGUGAACCUGCGGAAGGAUCAUUACUGAGUUAGGGUCUCCUAGGCCCGACCUCCCAACCCUUUGCUGAACAAACCUCUUGUUGCUUCGGCGGGCCCGUCCGAGAGGACCGCCGGAGGACCGUCAACAGACAUCCUCUGGCCCGCGCCCGCCGAAAGCCUACACAUAAAAUCCUGAAUAAAUCGUGUUCUGUCUUAGUUUUUAUUGAAUUAAAAGCAAAACUUUCAACAACGGAUCUCUUGGUUCUGGCAUCGAUGAAGAACGCAGC
RNAcentral lists this unclassified non-coding RNA (315 nucleotides) under uncultured fungus. Its description in RNAcentral is "partial contains small subunit ribosomal RNA, internal transcribed spacer 1, and 5.8S ribosomal RNA". The stretch from base 1 to 73 matches the Rfam family "Eukaryotic small subunit ribosomal RNA", at positions 1759 to 1831 of the family's 1831-position model. Lineage: Eukaryota; Fungi. The record is from RNAcentral.